GUAGUCUCGCACAGAUGCAUAUCAAUAAGCGGAGGAAAAGAAACUAACAAGGAUUCCCCUAGUAACGGCGAGUGAAGCGGGAAGAGCUCAAAUUUGAAAUCUUAAAGGGUUUCCCUUUACGAAUUGUAGUUUAAAGAAGUGUUUUCUGUUGAGGUUUUGGUAAAAGUUCUUUGGAAUAGGACAUCAUAGAGGGUGAGAAUCCCGUAUUUGACCUUUACUUUCAACUUUGUGAUACACUUUCAAAGAGUCGGAUUGUUUGGGAAUGCAGUCCAAAAUGGGUGGUAAAUUUCAUCUAAAGCUAAAUAUUGGCGAGAGACCGAUAGCGAACAAGUACCGUGAGGGAAAGAUGAAAAGAACUUUGAAAAGAGAGUUAAACCAGUACGUGAAAUUGUCAAAAGGGAAGCGUUUGACACCAGUGUUGUUUUUCUGAAAAUCAAUUAAAGAACUGUUUAUGCUAAGCUGUUUAGACUUUAUCAGCUAACUGCUUUAGUUUUGAGCUUUUCUUUAAUGCACUUUUCAGUUAACAAGUCAACAUCAAUUUCUUUUGCUGUAAAAAAGCUUGAGGAAGGUGGCUUGAGAUUCGUCUUAAGUGUUUAUAGCCUCUUGCCUAUGCAGUCGGAGAGAUUGAGGUCUGCAGCGUAGAUCCUUCGGGGCUAAAUGCAUUUGUGCUAAGUUAUAACAUUUUAUAGACAACUUGUUGACUAUGAUUUGUCUUGUAGCUUACUCGCUUAUGUUAUUUUACCUACGCUUAGGAUGUUGAUCUGUAGUGCGUGCGC
RNAcentral lists this ribosomal RNA (776 nucleotides) under uncultured Neocallimastigales. RNAcentral's name for it is "partial large subunit ribosomal RNA". It matches the Rfam family "Eukaryotic large subunit ribosomal RNA", at positions 24 to 646 of the family's 3401-position model. Lineage: Eukaryota; Fungi; Neocallimastigomycota; Neocallimastigomycetes; Neocallimastigales. The record is from RNAcentral.